UGUAGUGUCUCUGAAAAAUGGAUCGCGGGUUGGCUUAACAUCCAAACUUAAUGUAGUAGUUCCCCCAAAUAACCAAACUGCGCUUGCCCUGAUACCACCAACGACAGCUAAGCAAAUAUGGAGCAUCCCUUGGACAGUGACACCAGAAAUUUGGAAAAUUGGCCCGUACAUAAUACAAGAGAUAGGACUACAACAGAUGUCUUUAACCCAUCUUGGUCUCUCAAACGGCUUGAAUUGUUGGUGCAAAUUAAUGCAAAUUAAUGCACUGUUUGUGAACCCUCUGACAUUUGUUGCUCCUUUUGACCAAAAGCAUUUACAAAUCUUGGGUGCUUCCCACCCCUUCAGAGCGGGUCGGCGCACCAUGCCUGGGGGUAUUGCUGUCGCUGGGGCUGUCACAGUGUCCUGACUGCCCCACACACCUGCCUGGCCAUUCCCGGCUUGUCACCACAUCCUGCCUGUGCCACAACAGGAGCCUUCUGGGGAAGUGACAGAGAAGGGGGCCGUGGGACUUUGUGACCCAGCUGCUCUGGGGUGGGAGAGGGGACAGACGAUGUCACCUUGUGCCCCCACAGUGUGGGACAGCUGACACCUCACAUCGGGUGUCUGGAUCUUUUACUGGGGCUACAAUGUUCGCAGAGGUGGUGUGGAGGCUGCUGGCAAAGCCACACCGAUAAGCAGCUGAGCUGGGUAUUCCUGGAUGACCACGGGAGUAAACAACCACACAGAGGUUUCCAACUAUGGUGAAGUCCUGGAGCUCCUUCUCCCUUCAGCUCUUCCAAGUUUUCAUUAGGAGUCUGGCAGCCCACUGGCACAUCAAGAUGCCCAUGGAAUCAGAAACUUGGAUAUUUGUGUGCUGGCUCCUAGCAGACACUGAUGUGCUGGAGCUGACCUGCUGUCUGGUACUAGAGGGAGCUCCAAACUGGAAGCUGUGGCAGCCAGCAUGAGCAAUUGAGGCCAGCUCAGUGACCAGGUUUUUAAGUCCUGGAUGGAAAAAGACCUGACCAGCCUGGUUUGAUCUCAUGACUGCUCCUGCCCUCAACAGAAAGCUGGAUUACAGAUCUCCAGAGGCCUUUCCUAUGUGAAUUUUCCUGUGAUCCUAUGAGUGCCUAUGAUUUGGCAUACACAGAAGGCAACUACUGACAUCGCCAUGACAACAAACUGGGUUUCUGCUGGUGUUGCAGCUUCCUGCAAAGAGAAGAGUGCACACUUCCUUGAGAGAAGUGUGCCAAGAUUUAUAGCACUAGAUUCACUGGAGCUUUGCUUUCGCUCAAAUGAAAGAAUUAAUAGGUUAUCAGCUUGUUGCACAGUUCUUUUCUGCUUCUGUUUCAAUUUUCUUUUUCUUUAAGAUAGUGAAGAAAAAAUUACAUGCAAAAGAAGAUAAUUACAUCCUCCCCCUUGGGGAGACAACCGAAAGGGCUUCAGCAAAUACUCCCAGUGCCAGUGGGAGGCAGCCAGUCAGCAGCCGGGGCCAGCUGCAUGUGGUUCAGCACAGCCAGCCCAGGGCUGUAAAGCAUAUUCCUUCACCGCUUGCCCUGUGGCCUUCCUAAAUAGAAGCACAUGAAGCAAAACGCUUCCAAUGUUUUGUUCAAAUACUGCAAACGAAAUCUCAGCUGCAGUUAGCGGGAGUCGAAACCUGCGCGCUGGGCACAUUCGAGGCGGUGGUGCUGCUGUGGCCGGUCACACACCCGGGGGUGGCGGCAGGGCAGGCAUGAGCACACCCUGCGGGGGUGCUGGCCUGCCCGAAGCCCCUGUGGGCUCCUCAGGCUGCAGGCAGAGGAUGGGGAUGUGGGGCUCUGUUACCACAGCUGCUGUCCUGGCAAUGCCAAUGGGGGAGUUUGGAGACACGAGAGCACUGGGGCCUCAGGCGACGCAGCUGCCGCAGCAGCUCUGUGUCCAGCCACACAAGGGCUCUGCUCUCUGCCACGUCCGCCUCACACCCGGGUGCCAGCAGCACAGAGCACCUUCAGAGGCAGAGGAGUGCUUGGUUUCCUGCUCGCCGCCCACUCGCACUGUCUGCCUCUCAGCCAGAGUCAAGGAUCCAGCCCCCCGGGACUCACCUUCAGCCAGGAAUAACUUCUGACUUGGGGCAAUUUUAGUAGGUCACCAACGCCACUGACUUUUUCCUUUGGCAGUUAUGCUUUUCUUCCUCACCCUAUGAAAAUCAAGUUUUCAUUCAAACAUGAAUGUGCCUCUUGUAAGCCGAUCUGCAAUAUAAUUAUUUUCUCCCUUGCUCAGCAAACUUUGCGAAACUGGACAUUUUCCCCAUCGAAGCCAGACAAUGAGGCCUUGUCUACACUGGAGCACAGUAGUAACAAUUCCCACUGUGGCUGCCAUCAGUUCAGCUUGCCUGAUGGGAGCCGUUUAUUAAUUUUUUUUCCUGAAGACUAAGCUUCCCGGUUCAACUGUAUUGCCCCACAUGUCAGACCCACAUUUGUGGGGUGAGAUUUUUUUUUUGCCAUGGACAUUCAAAAGCUGAGAAAGCAAAUUCAAAGCUUUGCAAAAGCAGUCAUGAGCUGCAAGUCUGUUUGAGCCAUUUUUUAAAACCAAAUAGCCAUUGUAACCUAGAAGUGCAGACACUGGCUGGGGAGCAGGAGUUAAUUGUUGUUCCUGGAAAAGGUUUGCCAGCAUCUCCUUCUCCUGUCAGGCUUUUAUAGCCACCCACCUUAACAGAAGUUAAAACAUGAUCACAUCAGCUCCACACCCUUAAAAAUGUAUCAAAGUAACCAGAGCAGGAAAGUCGUACUGCUGUGUUAUCCAUCUCAUAUGUGGAAACCUUCACAUGCGUUUGAUGUUUGCUGAAGCUUGGCCCAUCUGAAGUUAUCCAGCCCCGUGACGUGUCCCCCACACCACCACCUCCCACACACCCCAAACCCAGCCAGCCCUCGCCAAGCCAGCGGCUGCCCCCACCCUGAAUCCGAGCGGCACGCAUGGGGCUCCCACCAGCCCCCAUCCGCUGCAGCGUCCUGCUCCCACGCAAGGGCUGCCCAGGCAGGGGCACCUUGUCCAGGCCUGCUGCCUUUCCGAGGCUGAGCGUACAAACGUGGCUCCAGCCCAGCCCCAAAGGGACACUAAUGGUUGACCAAAUCACGUUUUACUCUAGCUACGUAACGUUUCAUAGUAACAUCCAGGUCCAGCACUGCUCGAAAUAGAGCACAACAUUAGCUCACACCUUUUCUAAGCUCAGCGCUGCCUCUGCCUCAGGCUUAGGCAGGAGCAGACAAGGCUGCCUUAUCAAGAGCUGUGCCCCCAUGGGGCCAUGGGGGCCAAAGGCCCAUGGUUGAGGACAGCACAGCUUCACCCGUGCCAAGCAACAGCUCCUGCAGGAAGAGGCACCUUUAGCUGCUGUUUACACAAACAGCUCCAGCCUGCAUUGGAUACCAAAAGAAACCAGACACCUUGUCUCCACUGAGGUUUUUCCUUCCGGAGAAAAGAAACUCAGCAAAAAUUCCAGGAUCCCUUCAAACAUUUUACUGCUGUUUUAAGACACCUUAGGCUGGAAUAUGUUUUGUGUAAAAGAGCACAUCUGGCAGGCCCUCAGCCAUGAAGAAGGCAGGGUGGGGUGAGCCAGAGGGAAGCAGAAGGAGGCAGAGGGAUGGGCGUGACACUGCUGCUUUCCAGAAGAGAAAACCCAGCACGUGCUUAGCAGUUGACUUGGUGCCAGAAGGAAGUGUAGCCACAGGCCUGGGCUUUGAGGUGCUGGGUGAGUGUAUCAUGAUAGGCCAGGGAGCAGGGCAGGAAGCAGAAGGGUCUAAGUCCCUUUUCCUUACACAGAGGAUGGGGCUCAGAGUUCCAGGUCAGAGCAGGCAGAAGGACUGGCAGAAGAAGGGGAGAAAGAGAAGCACCUGCCCCUAGGGCCAAGAGCAGCUUGUGCAGCUCCUGGAAGGGGGUCUGGCACACACUGUGAAGGCAGCAAGGGAUGGGUGCUGCAAGAGCUGGCAGCAGCUUCCCCAGUUGCUUCUGCAAACUACUGAGUCAGCUCCAACGCAGACCCCCUCUUCUCUCACUGCUGCAGGAAAUCCUGGCCAGGCACUGAAACAGGGGCUACGGUGGCACGUGCUGCUGCAACAGCCUUCAGCGACAGUGGUGUGCUGUCCUAAAAACAUCUGUAAAGCUCUUAUUGUCCUGCUAAUGGGCUUCUUGUUAAACAGAACAGUCAAGCUGCUGCUAUAAAUCAAACCAGCCUUGAUCAUACUUUCACACUGCAGAAGGUCCAGGGGAAGGUUGGGAGUCAUCAGUGGCACCUUGGAGGCAUAAAGAAUUUUAUAUCCUUGCAGCACUCAGUAGCCUCAGCUGCAAACUGGAGCCCAUUGCUCCUGUAAACUCUGCAGACCCACACGAGCCUACAGACCUUGCCCAGAGGCUUUGUGCCCACAAAGCCCCGGGCCUCGGAGAAGCCAGGGAAGAGCUGCACACCCACAGGUUUUGCUGCUCUGUUAGGGGCAGCCACAUCCCUGGCUGGGAUUCGGCCAGCGGGACAGACCAGGAAGAGCCGGGCAGGCUGUUUUAUACAGCUGUGUCUAAGGAGUUAAUCAGUGCUGAAAGCCUCUAAAAAUGGCACACAGCUUAUGUCUGGGUGUCUUUUUUUAGCUGCUAUUUAAUUGCCUGGUUUCAGCCCACGAGGCACAGCACGCUGCGGCACUUGCCAGGGGCACCGCUCUGCGCCACGUGGGGGAACUACAGGGAGCCCUUCGCUCGGCAGGAACGGGAAAGGAAGAAAAGGCAGCAGGAAAGCCUGUCCCUCCUCCUCGGACGGCAGGCUGGCAGAGAGACUGAGCCCUGCUCACACCCACAUAGCUGUGGCUGCCCCUUGAUGCACCCCCAUCACAUCCACGCCUAUCACAGGCAGGGAUCCUGCUCCGCCGGCAGCUACUCCCAUGCCGAGAGCUGAGACAGCUGGGCAAAGUGCUGCCUUUGGCUCAAGUCCCUCCAUUUCCAGCAUCCACCUUACAUUAGAGAGCCAGUGCCAACAGCUGUAACCUGCAGGAACCACAGUCCUGUAAUGCUGACAGCCCUACAAAAACCAGGGAACCCUCACAAGAGCGAGAUGAACCAGGCAAGUGACCGCCAUUGAAGCAAGCAGAGGUCUUUGCGCUUUGUGUCACAGCAACUCUGCCGCCAGCAAGAAACAGGGGACAGCGGGGACAUUCCCAAAUUCACCAGCACCGGUCAGACACCACAGGCUGCUGGGCUGGAUGCAUUAUUGGAUUAGACAGACAAUAGCAGGGGUCCUGAAGGCCUCCCUGGCAUCGGGAUGUCGUGUGCCUGGAAGCCUGGGGCAAAGAUCUUCCCAGCUGCUUGAAACGCUGCACGGGAGCUUUGUGCUGGCACCUGUGAGGCCCAGGUGGCUGGUCAGGAGGACACACUGAGGCUUUCCUCUUCAUCAGCAAAGACCUAGACAAGUGGAGACUAAAUCCUUCUAGGGGUAGAAGUCUAUUAACAGAAUGAAGAGAUGGACACCUCCAGAAGAGCUCUCACCUGCCAGAUGCCUCCAGCUCCAGAGACACAAGAUGGACAACUAAAGUGUGAGCUGAGGCAAUAGAAAAUCCAGAUGAACAAAAACAGCCAAGUACACCGUGGUGUAACGAUGCCUUCUUGGUCUGCAGCAGCAGCUAAAAGGGCAAAUAGAUGAGGCACUGAGCUCAAGUGACAACAAAUGGCACUACAAUUCCUUCAUUACCCCAAAUGACAGUUAUUCAUUUAGAUUCCAUUCAUAGCCAAUUACGGACAAACUGGUCCUGAACAUUUUUGGAUUGCAUUUAUAGACUCAGAUCUGGCUGUAGCAUCAGUUACUGCACAGGCUCCCUGUAACUCUUCAUUGUCAACAGUUUAUUUGUACCACCAUCUGCUUCUCCAAGAACACGACAAGUAUGCUGGAAAACACAGAUCCCCAGCACAGAUUGUUGGCCUCUAUUGGAAAGUUCUUUCCAUUGCAAGCCUGACUGGAUAUGGACUUCAUGUUUAUAUUUCUUUCUAUUCCAAGAAGUAACUUUAGCCCUUAAAAUAAGGAGUAAUAGGAUGAGGCCUUGCUGAAGGGUUUAAUAAGAAAUUUCAGAAAAUAUGUUGACUGUGUCAACCAUUUUU
Hirundo rustica (Barn swallow) is the source of this 6081-nucleotide long non-coding RNA. RefSeq lists it as uncharacterized. NCBI's taxonomy places the organism in Eukaryota, Metazoa, Chordata, Aves, Passeriformes, Hirundinidae. The record is from RefSeq and is a predicted model, not a curated record. The transcript has 3 exons.